This 605-nucleotide ribosomal RNA is filed under the name Phialemonium obovatum. RNAcentral describes it as "eukaryotic LSU rRNA". It matches the Rfam family "Eukaryotic large subunit ribosomal RNA", at positions 38 to 667 of the family's 3401-position model. Lineage: Eukaryota; Fungi; Ascomycota; Sordariomycetes; Cephalothecales; Cephalothecaceae. The record is from RNAcentral.
GCAUAUCAAUAAGCGGAGGAAAAGAAACCAACAGGGAUUGCCCUAGUAACGGCGAGUGAAGCGGCAACAGCUCGAAUUUGAAAUCUGGCCUCGGCCCGAGUUGUAAUCUGUAGAGGACGCUUUUGGCGCGGUGCCUUCCGAGUUCCCUGGAACGGGACGCCACAGAGGGUGAGAGCCCCGUAAGGUCGGACACUAAGCCUCUGUAAAGCUCCUUCGACGAGUCGAGUAGCUUGGGAAUGCUGCUCUAAGCGGGAGGUAAACUUCUUCUAAAGCUAAAUACUGGCCAGAGACCGAUAGCGCACAAGUAGAGUGAUCGAAAGAUGAAAAGCACUUUGAAAAGAGGGUUAAAUAGUACGUGAAAUUGUUGAAAGGGAAGCGCUCAUGACCAGACUUGCGCCUGGCGGAUCAUCCGGUGGUCUCCACCGGUGCACUCCGCCUGGCGCAGGCCAGCGUCGGCUGUUGCGGGGGGACAAAAGCUCUGGGAACGUAGCUCUCUCCGGGGAGUGUUAUAGCCCUCUGCAGAAUACCCCCGCGGCGGCCGAGGUCCGCGCUCUGCAAGGACGCUGGCGUAAUGGUCAUCAGCGACCCGUCUUGAAACACGGACC